RNAcentral lists this ribosomal RNA (372 nucleotides) under uncultured organism. RNAcentral's name for it is "partial 16S ribosomal RNA". It matches the Rfam family "Bacterial small subunit ribosomal RNA", at positions 527 to 896 of the family's 1533-position model. The record is from RNAcentral.
GUAGGUGGCAAGCGUUGUCCGGAAUUAUUGGGCGUAAAGCGCGCGCAGGCGGUUUUUAAGUCUGAUGUGAAAGCCCACGGCUCAACCGUGGAGGGACAUUGGAAACUGGAGAACUUGAGUACAGAAGAGGAAAGCGGAAUUCCACGUGUAGCGGUGAAAUGCGUAGAGAUGUGGAGGAACACCAGUGGCGAAGGCGGCUUUCUGGUCUGUAACUGACGCUGAGGCGCGAAAGCGUGGGGAGCAAACAGGGAUUAGAUACCCUGGUAGUCCACGCCGUAAACGAUGAGUGCUAAGUGUUAGGGGGUUUCCCGCCCCUUAGUGCUGCAGCUAACGCAUUAAGCACUCCGCCUGGGGAGUACGGCCGCAAGGCUG